This 33-nucleotide non-coding RNA is filed under the name Halobacillus halophilus DSM 2266. RNAcentral describes it as "L31-Firmicutes ribosomal protein leader". It matches the Rfam family "L31-Firmicutes ribosomal protein leader". Lineage: Bacteria; Bacillati; Bacillota; Bacilli; Caryophanales; Bacillaceae. The record is from RNAcentral.
CUCUGUUUCUAAAGGGAUCAGGGCAAAAAGGAG